GGCUGUUGCAUUUGAAUUUAUUGUGUCCUUUUUGAUAAUCAUAUUUCAAUAUUGAAUAUUGUCUCUACAUUAUUCCUCAGAUGUGCCCCAGAGACCUCCUUGGGCGAGUGGAUUAGGCAACUCUAAGAGGGCUAAACAAGAGGAUCCAAGAAAUAGAGGCAUAGAAGAGGCCCACACGGCUUCUCCGGAAAAACAUCCUCACUCGAAGGUAACGCUUUUAGACUUUUAGCUUGAAGUAAGAACUACAGAUUUUAUCGUGUGUAUGUUAUGUUUUAAUCAACUCUAAUCCAAACCCAUUCAGCCUCCAGUU
Molecule: long non-coding RNA, 310 nt
Filed under: Sus scrofa (pig)
Lineage: Eukaryota; Metazoa; Chordata; Mammalia; Artiodactyla; Suidae
Description: lncRNA (ENSSSCG00070003321.1)
Source: RNAcentral